CUUUAACCUGAAAGGGGUUUAUGCCUGCUGUGGUCACACUUGUAUCACUCUCCAGGAAGACUCCAAGAUGUUCAUUCCCUAUGCAAUCCAAAGCCCCAGAUUUGGCUCUGUUAAUCUGCAGGAGGAUGCAGGCUGUGUCACCAUGUGCUGGCUUCCCAGGAACCCCCAGCCAAUGCCCCACAAACCCUGGCUCCCUGCACGAGGAUUGUUCUCCACCCUCUUGGAAGAGCACCUGAAUUAACAGAUAAUGUAUGUACAGCUCUGGGGCUCCCACGGUCUGCAGCCUAAUCCUGG
Molecule: long non-coding RNA, 294 nt
Filed under: Cyanistes caeruleus (blue tit)
Lineage: Eukaryota; Metazoa; Chordata; Aves; Passeriformes; Paridae
Description: lncRNA (ENSCCEG00000021535.1)
Source: RNAcentral